UGGAGCUUAGUGGUAGAGCACUUGCCUAGCAUGCAUGAGGUCCUGGGUUCAAUCCCCAGCA
This 61-nucleotide transfer RNA is filed under the name Ictidomys tridecemlineatus (thirteen-lined ground squirrel). RNAcentral's name for it is "Spermophilus tridecemlineatus (thirteen-lined ground squirrel) tRNA". It matches the Rfam family "tRNA", at positions 6 to 65 of the family's 71-position model. From Rfam's summary of the family: Transfer RNA (tRNA) molecules are approximately 80 nucleotides in length. Their secondary structure includes four short double-helical elements and three loops (D, anti-codon, and T loops). Lineage: Eukaryota; Metazoa; Chordata; Mammalia; Rodentia; Sciuridae. The record is from Rfam by way of RNAcentral.